CUACGGGCGGCAGCAGUGGGGAAUCUUGCACAAUGGACGAAAGUCUGAUGCAGCAACGCCGCGUGGGUGAAGAAGGUUUUUGGAUUGUAAAGCCCUUUCGGCUAGAAAGAAGGGUUUGUAGACUAAUACUCUACAGACUUGACGGUACUAGAAGAAGAAGCACCGGCUAACUCCGUGCCAGCAGCCGCGGUAAUACGGAGGGUGCAAGCGUUGUUCGGAUUGAUUGGGCGUAAAGCGCAUGUAGGCGGAUUUGUAAGUCGGAUGUGAAAGCCCAGGGCUUAACCUUGGAACUGCACCCGAAACUGCAAGUCUUGAAUGCUCGAGGGGUUGGUGGAAUUCCUGGUGUAGGAGUGAAAUCCGUAGAUAUCAGGAGGAACACCGGAGGCGAAAGCGGCCAACUGGCGAUGCAUUGACGCUCAGAUGCGAAAGCGUGGGGAGCAAACAGGAUUAGAUACCCCGGUAGUC
RNAcentral lists this ribosomal RNA (465 nucleotides) under uncultured bacterium. RNAcentral's name for it is "partial 16S ribosomal RNA". It matches the Rfam family "Bacterial small subunit ribosomal RNA", at positions 339 to 795 of the family's 1533-position model. The record is from RNAcentral.